Molecule: long non-coding RNA, 318 nt
Organism: Stegostoma tigrinum
Lineage: Eukaryota; Metazoa; Chordata; Chondrichthyes; Orectolobiformes; Stegostomatidae
Exons: 3
Source: RefSeq, a predicted model, not a curated record
GUCCUCGAUGUGAAGAUGGGACUUUGUCUCCGAUAGGACACUCUUACCUCUACUGCCAUGGAUAGAUGCAUCUGUAGUAGCCAGACUGGCCAUAAUGAGCUUCAAAGGCUGGAGUAAGAAGUCAUGAAUUUGAGAUCGUUAUGAACAAAUUCACUGUGAAAAUGAAGAGACAUUACUUAGGGCUACGGGAGAUUGAAAAGAGUGCUCAACUGUUGUGUUAAUCUCAGGAGAGAACCAAUCUUUCCGACCACCAUCUCAGCCAGUUCUCCAAUAAACCACGGCCGAAAACAUCCAAACAAUACAAGCGACAGUGAGUGU